RNAcentral lists this transfer RNA (75 nucleotides) under Caldisericota bacterium. Its description in RNAcentral is "Caldiserica bacterium tRNA-Glu". It matches the Rfam family "tRNA". Rfam says of the family: Transfer RNA (tRNA) molecules are approximately 80 nucleotides in length. Lineage: Bacteria; Pseudomonadati; Caldisericota. The record is from RNAcentral. RNAcentral also lists the same sequence under 2 other names.
GCCCCCGUGGUCUAGCGGCUAGGACAUCGCCCUUUCAAGGCGGCGGCAGGAGUUCAACUCUCCUCGGGGGCACCA